RNAcentral lists this ribosomal RNA (47 nucleotides) under Agrostis exarata (spike bentgrass). Its description in RNAcentral is "partial 18S ribosomal RNA". It matches the Rfam family "Eukaryotic small subunit ribosomal RNA", at positions 1788 to 1831 of the family's 1831-position model. Lineage: Eukaryota; Viridiplantae; Streptophyta; Magnoliopsida; Poales; Poaceae. The record is from RNAcentral.
UUCGUAACAAGGUUUCCGUAGGUGAACCUGCGGAAGGAUCAUUGUCG